UUACUUCCUCCUACAGCACAGCCUGGAGCUUGACCCCCUGCACAUAGUGGAUUGCCUGUGGAGGACACGACCCACUCAGGUUCCUACAAUAUAGGAUCCGCUCAGUAGAUAUCUUCUAUAUAAGAUCCUCCUCCUGAUUGACCCAUCAAGAAUGGACAGGGACAGGGACAAGAUGGCGGAGAGUAUAAUAAAUCUCACCCUAGAGAUCAUCUUCCGGCUUACUGGAGAGGACUACACAGUAGUGAAGAAGACCUCUAGUGAGCGCUGUCAGGCCCUUGUGUCUG
Bufo bufo (common toad) is the source of this 284-nucleotide long non-coding RNA. RefSeq lists it as uncharacterized. The transcript is spliced from 3 exons. Lineage: Eukaryota; Metazoa; Chordata; Amphibia; Anura; Bufonidae. The record is from RefSeq and is a predicted model, not a curated record.